RNAcentral lists this ribosomal RNA (194 nucleotides) under uncultured eukaryote. RNAcentral's name for it is "partial 18S ribosomal RNA". It matches the Rfam family "Eukaryotic small subunit ribosomal RNA", at positions 1 to 192 of the family's 1831-position model. The record is from RNAcentral.
GAAACCUGGUUGAUCCUGCCAGUAGUCAUAUGCUUGUCUCAAAGAUUAAGCCAUGCAUGUCCAAGUAUAAACCAUUUAUACGGUGAAACUGCGAAUGGCUCAUUAAAUCAGUUAUAAUUUAUUUGAUCGUACCUUACUACUUGGAUAACCGUGGUAAUUCUAUGGCUAAUACAUGCACAAAGGCCCGCAAGGGU